This 428-nucleotide ribosomal RNA is filed under the name uncultured prokaryote. RNAcentral describes it as "bacterial SSU rRNA". It matches the Rfam family "Bacterial small subunit ribosomal RNA", at positions 355 to 774 of the family's 1533-position model. The record is from RNAcentral.
UAGGGAAUAUUACGCAAUGGGCGAAAGCCUGACGCAGCAACGCCGCGUGAGUGAUGAAGGCCUUCGGGUUGUAAAACUCUGUCAGAUGGGAAGAACCCUGACCGAUUUAUAAGAUCGGACAGCUGACGGUACCAUCAGAGGAAGCUGCGGCUAACUCCGUGCCAGCAGCCGCGGUAAUACGGAGGGAGCUAGCGUUGUUCGGAAUUACUGGGCGUAAAGGGUGCGUAGGCGGUGAUAUAAGUCAGUCGUGAAAUUCCGGGGCUCAACCUCGGAGCUGCGAAUGAUACUGUAUUACUUGAGGAAUGGCGGAGAAAAUGGAAUUCCAUAUGUAGCGGUGAAAUGCGUAGAUAUAUGGAAGAACACCUGUGGCGAAAGCGGUUUUCUAGCCUUCUCCUGACGCUGAGGCACGAAAGCAAGGGGAGCAAACA